Non-coding RNA from Thalictrum thalictroides, 193 nucleotides. The record is from the annotation of a GenBank genome assembly. NCBI's taxonomy places the organism in Eukaryota, Viridiplantae, Streptophyta, Magnoliopsida, Ranunculales, Ranunculaceae.
AGUUGUGUAAGAGAGCUCUCUUCAGUCCACUCAUAGGUAGUGGUCAGAUUCAAUUUGCUGCCGACUCAUUCAUCCAUGUACCCAAGUUAGUAAGAUGAUCAAAUUACUUGGUAAAUGAAUGAAUGAUCCGGGAGAUUAAUUGGAUCUUAUGCUUCUUAUACUUGGACUGAAGGGAGCUCCCUACUUAACUACA